This 330-nucleotide ribosomal RNA is filed under the name uncultured Candidatus Sumerlaeota bacterium. RNAcentral's name for it is "bacterial SSU rRNA". It matches the Rfam family "Bacterial small subunit ribosomal RNA", at positions 29 to 351 of the family's 1533-position model. Lineage: Bacteria; Candidatus Sumerlaeota. The record is from RNAcentral.
AACGAACGCUGGCGGCAGGCUUCAUACAUGCAAGUCGAGCGAUUAAGACCCCUUCGGGGGUGAAUAAAGCGGCAAACGGGUGAGUAACAGGUGGAUAAUCUGCCUUCCGAUGGGGGACAACGGCUGGAAACGGCCGCUAAUACCGCAUACGGUUGCGAGUUCCUUGGAACUUGCAAAGAAAGGCGCUUUUGCGUCGUCGGAAGAUGAGUCCGCCACCCAUUAGCUAGUUGGAGGGAUAAUAGCCCCCCAAGGCAACGAUGGGUAGCCGAGCUGAGAGGUUGAUCGGCCACACUGGAACUGAGACACGGUCCAGACACCUACGGGUGGCUG